UGUUUGAUUGUAUAAAUUUUUCACGUGGAAAAUGUUGAAGUAAAAGUAUUUUUUGAUGUUCGUUUGACUUUGUUUUACGUGGAAAUUGUCAAUUUCAGGGAUAUCCUCUUUUACAAUUAUUCCUAAAAUUUGUUCCCAUUGCCAACAAUUAAAAAAAAAUAAAAAAAGCAAAAAAAAAAUAAAAAAAAAGGUGGAAAACCAAAAACCACCUAUCCCCUAGGAAAAAAAAUGUGGAAAAUCACGCUUUAAGGUGUUGUACCUAGAAAUUCAUGGAAAAUCAAUUCCCUGGAAAAUUUUGUCAAUCAAACAGGCCAAAAGUGGAAGUUGGAAUUCGAAUUCCAAGUUCCAUGGAAAAUUUCGUGCAAUCAAACGGGGCCUAAAAAAAAUAAAAAUAAAAAAAGGUGGAAAACCAAAAACCACCUAUCCCCUAAGAAAAAAAAGGUGGAAAAUCACGUUUUAAGGUGUUGUACCUAGAAAUUCAUGGAAAAUCAAUUCUCUGGAAAAUUUUGUCAAUCAAACAGGCCAAAAGUGGAAGUUGGAAUUCGAAUUUCAAGUUCCAUGGAAAAUUUCGUGCAAUCAAACGGG
This 585-nucleotide long non-coding RNA is filed under the name Olea europaea (common olive). RNAcentral describes it as "long non-coding RNA (OEUR_LNC006103)". The record is from RNAcentral. Lineage: Eukaryota; Viridiplantae; Streptophyta; Magnoliopsida; Lamiales; Oleaceae.